Molecule: ribosomal RNA, 447 nt
Filed under: uncultured bacterium
Lineage: Bacteria
Description: partial 16S ribosomal RNA
Rfam family: Bacterial small subunit ribosomal RNA
Source: RNAcentral
AGCGAACGCUGGCGGCAGGCUUAACACAUGCAAGUCGAACGCCCCGCAAGGGGAGUGGCAGACGGGUGAGUAACACGUGGGAACGUACCCUUUGGUUCGGAAUAACUUGGGGAAACUCAAGCUAAUACCGGAUAAGCCCUUAUGGGGAAAGGUUUACUGCCGAAGGAUCGGCCCGCGUCUGAUUAGCUAGUUGGUGAGGUAAUGGCCCACCAAGGCGACGAUCAGUGGCUGGUCUGAGAGGAUGAUCAGCCACACUGGGACUGAGACACGGCCCAGACUCCUCCGGGAGGCAGCAGUGGGGAAUAUUGGACAAUGGGGGCAACCCUGAUCCAGCCAUGCCGCGUGAGUGAUGAAGGCCUUAGGGUUGUAAAGCUCUUUUACCCGGGACGAUAAUGACUGUACCGGGAGAAUAAGCCCCGGCUAACUUCGUGCCAGCCGCCGCAGUAA